This 253-nucleotide ribosomal RNA is filed under the name uncultured bacterium. Its description in RNAcentral is "partial 16S ribosomal RNA". It matches the Rfam family "Bacterial small subunit ribosomal RNA", at positions 524 to 776 of the family's 1533-position model. The record is from RNAcentral.
UACGGGGGGGGCAAGCGUUGUUCGGAAUUACUGGGCGUAAAGGGCGCGUAGGCGGUUCGAUAAGUCAGCUGUGAAAACCAUGGGCUUAACUCAUGGCCUGCAGUUGAGACUGUCGGGCUGGAGUGUGGGAGAGGAGAGUGGAAUUCCUGGUGUAGCGGUGAAAUGCGCAGAUAUCGGGAGGAACACCAAUGGCGAAGGCAGCUCGCUGGGACGUGACUGACGCUGAGACGCGAAAGCGUGGGGAGCAAACAGG